CCCACCCGUGUCUACAUACUCUUGUUGCUUUGGCAGGCCGUGGUCUCCCACUGUGGGCUCAUGCCUGCAUGUGCCUGCCAGAGGACCAAACUCUGAAUUUUAGUGAUGUCUGAGUACUAUAUAAUAGUUAAAACUUUCAACAACGGAUCUCUUGGUUCUGGCAUCGAUGAAGAACGCAGCGAAAUGCGAUAAGUAAUGUGAAUUGCAGAAUUCAGUGAAUCAUCGAAUCUUUGAACGCACAUUGCACCCGGUGGUAUUCCGCCGGGUAUGCCUGUUCGAGCGUCUGUAGAACAACAACUAUAGCAAGCUUUAGGCUUGAUUCUGGGGUUGCGGCGUCAAGCUGCAGCCUUGAAGUCCACGGGCGGUUCCGAUAGGUUCUACGCGUAGUAAUUUCUCCUCGCUACUGAACUUUGUCGGCACAUUUGGUACUAAGUCCAGCAAUGGCCACGCCAAGCCCUUAACACCCAAUUUUAGUUUGACCUCGGAUCAAGUAGGGAUACCCGCUGAACUUAAGCAUA
RNAcentral lists this ribosomal RNA (518 nucleotides) under Ascomycota sp. 1 MV-2011. RNAcentral describes it as "eukaryotic LSU rRNA". The stretch from base 132 to 285 matches the Rfam family "5.8S ribosomal RNA". Lineage: Eukaryota; Fungi; Ascomycota. The record is from RNAcentral.